AUGAAAGUUCCGGAGGGAUCCGUGACAGUUACCAAUGUUUUGGGUUUUGGAAAAUGCUUACGAAGUGGUUCGCGUUCUUUCCCCCUUUUUAGGAGGUAUUGUUCUCCUUCUGUGAAAAACUCUUCCAUCUCUAGGAGAUUGUUCAUGCCUAAACCAAGUUCACACAUAAACUCUUCCAUCUCUAGGAGAUUGUUCAUGUCUAAACCAAGUUCACAAAAAAACUCUUCCAUCUCUAGGACAUUGUUCAUGCCUAAACCAAGUUCACACAAAAACUCUUCCAUCUCUAGGAGAUUGUUCAUGUCUAAACCAAGUUCACACAUAAACUCUUCCAUCUCUAGGAGAUUGUUCAUGCCUAAACCAAGUUCACACAUAAACUCUUCCAUCUCUAGGAGAUUGUUCAUGCCUAAACCAAGUUCACACAAGGUUGUUGUUUUCUUCCUUCUCAAAAGUCACCUGAAAUCCACGUCCCACGAUCACUGUUAGGGUAUGAGAAGAUCAGACAAACUUCAGUUUUGGGGUGACCCAUCCCUUUAAUCAGCCAACUAAAAAGACAAAGUGACUAGUUGAUCUCCAGGGUCUUGAACAGCUGGGGGGGGGAUCAAGUAGUAAACUGUCCAUCAGAAGUAUCCUAUAUUUUAGCAGCCGGCUGUCACUAGAGAAAAAUCCCCUGUCAUGACCCUGCGGCCUGAGGAAUUCCUCCCUGGAGGACAGUUCCAUGGGAUAAAGAUGCCUAGAAGGGCCGUGUUUUGGAGAAGGCUCAAGCCAUAGGUAUAUCGGAUGGCAUAAAGGCAGACAGCCGCUGUCCGUGUAGGCUAGAAGGAAAACAGUGAGGAGGAGGGGGGUUGGAUAGUUUUGAAGACUGGUUUGGUUCGUAACCUGGGUCUUCUGGAUGCUAUAAAACUGUGUUGUCUCUCUGGGCUAACUCCUAGGCAUCUACACAACAUAUGACGAAUCCCACUGGGCACAGACGUCAAUUCAACAUCUAUUCAACUUUGGUUCAAUGUAAUUGAAUUGAAAUGAUGUGGAAACAGCGUUGAUUGUGUUGUAUUCAUAACAAACAUCAUCAUCAUCCUCAUUCAAAGGAAUUCUAACAUCAGACUAUUAAAAGCGUGCAGUCUCUGUUAUAUGUUUUGUGUGUUUUAUGUUUUAUAAUGGUCAUGAGAUCAAGUCCCAAAGACAGUUUUUCUAUAGUUUUUUUUAAAUUUAAAUCAAUGAAAUAUAAACAUUUAAUAUAGAAUGUGACUGAAGGUAAAUCUAUUGCUUGCUACAGUAUGUGUAUGUACAUAAAUAUAUGUUACUAUCAGUCAGUUACUAAAACAAGGGAAAUACACGUAACUUCCAAAAUAAAGGAAACCCCAACAUAAAGUGUCUUAAAUAAAAGCUUUAAUGCAUAGAUUCUACAAGUGUCUGGAACUUUGUUGGAGGGACGAGAACCAUCAUUUGGUGUUUUGUUGAUGAAAACGCUUUCUCAGGCGUCGCUCCAGAAUCUCCUAUAGGAGUUCAAUUGGAUUGAGGCGUGAUAAAUGAGACCACCAUAGCAUAUGGUUUACGUCGUUUUCAUGCUCAUCAAACCAUUCAGUGAUCACUUCUGCCCUGUGGAUGGAGACAAUGUCAUCCUAGCCAUGGUAGCCAAAAUAAUGGCCUGCCCAGCAUUAUUAUACAUGACCCUAAGCAUGAUGGGACAUGAAUUGCUUAAUUAACUCAGGAACCACACCUGUGUGGAAUUACCUGCUUUCAAUAUUCUUUGUAUCCCUCAUUUACUCAUGUGUUUCCAUUAUUUUGGCAGUUAUAUGUACCUGUACAUUGAGAGUCAAUAUACAGUAUUAUCACACUUACAGGAAAAAUGUCUAAGUAAAACGUUAUUUUUAUCAUGUUAAAUUAUGCAAACAUAUUUGUACCUGAUAUUUGUUUUAUAAGAUGUAUUGUACUGUAUUGAAGUGUGAGUGUGAGUGCGAAAAAAUGAGGCAUCUCUAUUAGGAAGUCGUCAGAUUACAGGAAACAUCAUAUAUGUAUGCCUGCGGUGAGUCCCAAAGAGUUGAAUGUGUCGUUCUGAAUGAUGAUUCAAAUAAACUUGUUCAAAUCAUUUACAAAUGAAGAGGCCUUAUUCGUAUGUAGGUAAUUACUGGCAAACUAUCUAGCAGAAGACAGCUGUGGCUGGAAAUACACUACGGUAUCAUACUGUACUGCCAAUGAAAUCAGCUUGUGUUCUCCAGCUGGAAUGUAUAGAAACGUCUCUGCUUUGAGUGAUGCUCAGCUUCCAGCAUUGAGCUAUGGGAUAGUGGGAUUCUUAGCCUCCCAGAAUUGGAUUAGUAUCCCCAGUGCAACUGUCCAUCAUGGUUCUAGCCCCCCUGUGCCUCAUCCUGAGACAGGAAGCAGUUUGUCUAACACUAACGAGGGUAUCCAAUCAACACCGACACCACAGCUGGCCUCGGCCAAUCCCCUGCGGGGCUCUUCGGGGUGGGCAUCCGGACAGCAUCCGGACAGGUGUCAUCAGGUCAUCGAAAACAUGCGUAUAUUAACUGGACAACCAGAGAGUCUGAUGGGGUUUAAAAAAGUGAAAAUAACAAUCGAUGAUAAAGUAUUAUUUGUCUUGUUCUUCUGAGAAUCUUCUGAGAAUCCUCAAUCUGUUUCUCCUCUUUCUCCCAGCUAACUUAAUCAGUAAAGCAGUAAUAAUCUAUUCUGAGUGGUAUGCAUGUUUCAUCAUCUAGUUCUCCGUUCAACAGAGGAUUCUAAUUAAGUUCAACACCAUAACACACACACAUAUGCACACCUCACACACAAUCACCGCCGGUAACAUACACCGAGAACAAUACGGAGGCUAAACAAGAUGAUUUAUGUCACAUUUUGUCUUUCUCAUGAGACACAUUCAUUUGAGGCAUUUUAAGUUCCUUUAACCUGUUGAGUCUAGAGGGCAGUAUUUUGAUGUUUGGAUGAAAAACGUACCCAAAUGAAACGGCCUAUUUCUCAGGCCCAGAAGCUAGAAUAUGCAUAUAAUUGGCAGAUUAGGAUAGAAAACACUCUAACAUUUCCAAAACUGUCAAAAUAUUGUCUGUGAGUAUAACAGAACUGAUAUUGCAGGCGAAAACCUGAGGAAUAUCCAACCAGGAAGUGCAUCUUAUUUUGAAACCUCCCUGUUCCAUUGCAUGCCUUCCCUCCAUUUAAAGGGAUAUCAACCAGAUUCCUUUCCCUAUGGCUUCCACAUGGUGUGAACAGUCUUUAGACAUAGUUUCAGCCUUUUAUUCUGAAAAAUGAGUGAGAACGAUCACAUCGCGUCAGUGCAUAACUGGGUGUCCCCAGACUUCUGCAUGCGCCAACAGCUUGGAGCAGACAUGUUCUCUCUCUCUCCUAUUGAAAAAGCUACCGUCUGGUUGAAAUAUUAUCGAUAAUUUAUUGUAAAAAUAACCUGAGGAUUGAUUAUAAAAACCGUUUGACAUGUUUCUACGAACUUUACGGACACUAUUUGGAAUUUUCGUCUGCCCUUCGUGACCUGCACAAGCCUGUGGAUUACUAAACAAAUGCACCAACCAAAUGGAGGUUUUUGGAUAUAAAAAUAAUCUUUAUCGAACAAAAGGAACAUUUAUUGUGCAACUGGGAGUCUCGUGAGUGCAAACAUCCAAAGAUCAUCAAAGGCAAGCGAUUUAUUGUAUUGCUUUUCUGACUUUCGUAACCAAUCUACUUUGCUGCUAACUGUUUGUAAUGUUUUGUCUGCUGAGAGAGAUGACCUCACAUAAACGCUUGGUUUGCUUUCGCUGUAAAGCUUUUUUGAAAUCUGAAAUGCCAGGUGGAUUAACAAAAAGCUAAGCUGUGUUUUGCUAUAUUGCACUUGUGAUUUCAUGAAAAUUAAAUAUUUUCAGUAUUUUAAUUUGAAUUUGGCGCUCUGCAAUUCAGCGGAUGUUGACAAAAAUGAUCCCGCUAACGGGAUGGGUGCGCCAAGAAGUUAAAAGAAGGAAACACAGGGAAUUGAUGUUCCACUGAGAAGGCUUUGUCAGACACACACAAUUAUAGUCAGCCAGGAGCAGCUACUGCAUACCAAGACCACAAGCUUCUAUUCUGCUCUGAGUAACACGAUAGAACUAUCAUAAGAUUUACUCUGCAGACCGUCUGCUGGGAACCAUCUGCAUGUUAUUGGCUAGAUGAAGUUAUAAGCAUAAAUUGAGGAAUUGGGAAUUAUUUUUUCCUGUGAAGACUUUGAGUUGUGUUUGAUAUGAAACUUUCCAUAUCUCAGAUAGAACAUAUUUGCGAAUUUAGUGUUCGUAAAUUCACCUCAGCUCUGCUGUGAAGAAAUUACAUAAUUGAACAGGUCAUUUCAUAAGAAGAAGAGGUGCCAUCUGUCAACAGUAAGGUUUUAGAAGCGGUACAGUGUAUUCUAAUCUCUGUGAG
Oncorhynchus tshawytscha (Chinook salmon) is the source of this 4380-nucleotide long non-coding RNA. The record is from Ensembl. Lineage: Eukaryota; Metazoa; Chordata; Actinopteri; Salmoniformes; Salmonidae.